This is a small nucleolar RNA of Tachyglossus aculeatus (Australian echidna), 138 nucleotides long. The record is from RefSeq and is a predicted model, not a curated record. Lineage: Eukaryota; Metazoa; Chordata; Mammalia; Monotremata; Tachyglossidae.
UCCCUCUCAGGGUUACACCUGGUGGGUGUCCAGUACUCUACUAGUCUUGACUAUGGGAGGGAAAGUCAAGCAGAGGCAUAUCCAUUCUACUCCUAGCUUGGGCAGUGGCUUGUGAGUGGAAGACAAUCUGCUAUAAGU